This is a long non-coding RNA of Clupea harengus (Atlantic herring), 556 nucleotides long. RefSeq lists it as uncharacterized. The transcript has 3 exons. NCBI's taxonomy places the organism in Eukaryota, Metazoa, Chordata, Actinopteri, Clupeiformes, Clupeidae. The record is from RefSeq and is a predicted model, not a curated record.
UCUAUUUAACACAGAGACGUUGACAGGUAGUACUCCGGUCUCUUAAACAUGGCCACCAUGAUGGAGUAAAUGCUACAACUUUAAAUUUCAGAUUUUUGAGGAAAACUAUUUUUUCUCUUCUCUACGAGGAAUGUUUCGUCCGAAUAUACCUUACCAAAUAUCAAAUCUAUAUGAAAGCUUUGGGUAAACUUUCCUAUUGGAUUACGUUUUGAUAUAAGUUGGCUGGAACCUGGAAAGGAAAAAAAAGAAUUGCAUCAAUUCCAAUGUCAUCAGAGGACAAGAGUUUGGAGCCCUCUGACCAAGGACAGUCUCCUCCCCUGAGCAGUGCUGAGGCCACGCCCUCGAGGGCCACGCCCUCGGGGAGUCCAGCCCACAGUGACCGGCGUCCCCGAGGCCGGCCUUGUAAGGAUGCAGGCUCUUCCAUUCAUGCACCAAGGCCCAAAAGGAAGUCACGCAGUCGAGGUCGUCCGCAGGCAGAUGAUGAGGUCAGCAUGGAUGGCAGUGAGCCUGCAGACACAGAGCCUCUUCAGGACAUGGGUAAGCCCUCCACACCAUC